This is a long non-coding RNA of Rana temporaria (common frog), 177 nucleotides long. RefSeq lists it as uncharacterized. The transcript has 3 exons. NCBI's taxonomy places the organism in Eukaryota, Metazoa, Chordata, Amphibia, Anura, Ranidae. The record is from RefSeq and is a predicted model, not a curated record.
UAGAGAGAAGACAUUGUUGGAAGUGGCAGCAGAGGAGCAGAUGAUGAUAUGACCGAUCCCUGCUGAACCAGCUGAAUUUCCAUGUAUCUAUGGUCACUUUAAGUGACUUCCUCCCCUCCCCCUCAUCGCCUUCAUUAUAUCUAGAGUUUUCCUCCUGUGAAGUCUGGAGAUCAUAUG